RNAcentral lists this unclassified non-coding RNA (1938 nucleotides) under Hevea brasiliensis (rubber tree). The record is from RNAcentral. Lineage: Eukaryota; Viridiplantae; Streptophyta; Magnoliopsida; Malpighiales; Euphorbiaceae.
CUGGGUUACCAUCCCUUCCUGUUUUCUCCACAUUAUUCAUUUCAGCCUACCAAACCAAAAUACCAAAUGCAUACUUGUUGACAAGCCAGAACGUAAAACAAGUAACCACACUGAGGGAGUUUUCACACUUCACAGGUCUGAAUGUUGCAUCAAGCCUAUCAUCCCAAAUGCAAGCAGAAACUAAGACACUACCCAAGUCAAAACACAACUCCAAUCAUCUGACUAGACUCUUCCUACAUUGCAAACACCUAUUAAAUUCACCAACAUUCAUGGAUUCCAAGAUUCCCUUGUUUGAAUUAAACCUUAUGUAGUUAUUCAAUGAAAACAUUCACUCGGCAGGAAGAAGACAGAGAGGGGAAGAAAACACAUUCAAACUAAUUAGUGUUUAACUUCCACCGGCUCCCUUAAUAGAAGGAAAUAGAACCUAAUAUAUCAGUAAUGUAUGCAAGAAAGUAAAUAAUUAAGCAUCUGUUUAGAAUUUCUGUAUAACAACAGAACUUGCUAUGCCAGCCUCCUCUAUUGUCUGCUCUGGAUCUGUGAGUUGUUUGGGAGGGAAUCCCAUUGUUUGCAGUUGGUAAUUUCUUGCCCCUCCUGGUCUUGAUGCCUCAAUGAAGUCACGAAUAUCUCUGAUUGUAUGAUGUAAGUUGAAGCGUGCAACCAUGCGUGUACCAUCUGCUAACCUAAGCUGAAUUGAAGUAGUUGGUGCUGAAGAAUCUACAGUUAGGCCUAUAGCUGGCGAUGGAACAGUCUUACUCAGAGUAGUGGAAGAACUUGGAUUGGACGCAGCUGGGGUGACUCUGCUACUGCUGCUACAUAGCAUUCUUCCCACACCUUUGAAUGGAAUUUGGAGUUUCUCUGGUUCCUGUGUGAAAAGUGAAGAUGAUAAUAGUAUCAAUGAUGAAUAGAUAAAGACAAGAAACUAAUGAGAUAAAAAAAUGACUCACAGAGAAGUUAUCCUCGCGCCUCAUGAGAUCAAGAUGGACCUGAGUCCUCCUAUCUGCUGGCUCAAGCUCCAAGGGACACUCAGACUUCUUGAUGCUCUCCAGAAAGGAUGCAUUUGCGGGAUCAUCAAACCUUCGCAAAGGUCCAUCAUCUACAGUAAAACCAUUCCUCCAGAGAGUGACAGUGUGAUUAACAACCUCAGGUGGUUGAGGAGCAGAUGGAACUGUCUCACCUGAGAGUAAUCUCCCUGUUCCAGUGAAGCUUCUUGAACUUGAAGAAGACUGCUGGUAAUUAGCAGGCCUUUCCACAGCUCCUGAAUGUCUAGCUUGACUAAAAACGGCAUCUGCGUCAUAUCUUUUGGUAGGGUCUUGGACCAGCAUUCCACUCUUCUCGCCACCAGUGUAAUACUGCUGUCGCUCAUCAUCAUCGUCGUCGUCAUCACUUCCUGAUGCAACCUCAGGCGUCCGAUUCAGAUCAGCAAGCGUGCGAAUCCCUCCACGCGCCGUACUCCCACCAGCCACGGCCUUAGCCGGCUUCUUACCCCUCGAUCGAAGCCGAUAAGAAGCCCGAGACGGCGACGGAGAAGGAGAGCGGGAGCGAGAGCGUGACGGGGACUGCGAGGGAGAAUAAUUGGGAGAGUGAGACUCCGAAGGCGAGGAAGAAGGGGAGGAAGAGUUAGCAGCACGAGCUGAAGGAGCGGUGGGAAGCGAAACAGGGUCGAUAUUGUCAUGAAUAGUAUUGUUGUUGUCAAGGAAAGUAGAGACAGCGGAGUCGAGAUUCCAUUGAUGACUCUCGAGGAAGAAGAGGGCUUCUUCCUUGGAGGAGGAGGUGAUCUCGCAGAAUGAAUUGAUAAGGGCUGCGUUAGCAUUACUAGCGUCGUCACCGCGAUCGUAUUUUGCACCCGUUUCUGUGUUGUCCUCCAUAGCAGCUGUGUAAAGCUUACUCCAGCUUCGCGGUCGAUCGGCAAUCGGCAAUUUUUUAUAGGAUAAAUUAAGG